Molecule: long non-coding RNA, 1312 nt
Organism: Aedes albopictus (Asian tiger mosquito)
Lineage: Eukaryota; Metazoa; Arthropoda; Insecta; Diptera; Culicidae
Exons: 4
Source: RefSeq, a predicted model, not a curated record
CAUAAGUCAUUUGGUCAAGCAUUUUGUUUUAUUUGGAGAUGUACAAGCUCACACCGAAAACCACAAAACAUUUUUCCGUGCAUAAACGCCCAAAAUGUGCCCCACUGCGAAACGUCAUGCAAGCAACUCAGCGAAAACAAUCUGUCACUUGCAACUCGGAGAAAGCAAGCGAUCGCGCUUCCGGUGAGCCACAUACACACCCACACGGCUAAGACGCUCGACAUUCAGACCGGCAAGUAGCAAGGAGCAAGGUGGACGUCGUGUGCGAGCUGAUUGACCGCUGGAGCAGCAUACAGGACCAGCCAAAUCGUGAAAAUCUGCACUGGAAACACGUACCGGGAGUGGACUGCUGCACGACGAUUCACCGCAAGCUUCCCACGUGCAAAAUCCUCUCCGUUCGGUAGAAUCCACCGUCGCGGGUUUUCCGACCUACGUAGUCGAGCGGGAAUCACGGAAGGCCGUGCGUUGCAUCAUCCGGAAGAAGAUUCACGCUAAGUGGUUCGGAAACCGCGGGAGAUUCGUGCUGAAUAGCGACCAACGUAAAAACAUCAUCAGUCCAUCGACGAGAUUCGCACCGGAUCAGAACAGCGAACACCCGUAGAUCGCCAGCACACUUGACCGGCAGCAGUGCUAAUCUGGCCUACGUUGAUACUUAUUCCGUACGGGAAACCCGACAGAACGCCCGGAACGACGCUGAGCAUCACGACACAGCAAAGAAGCCUCCCAAGAAGAAGGCUUUUUGUGUUUGCUUUCAGCUCGUCCACAUCGGCUGUACGGAAAGAGCGGGACCGAUCAUCGGCGCCGCAUGGGCGUCUGAACGACAGGGCUGUGCGCGGGAUCCGGACAAGCUGCGAUUCGGAGGAGGGAUCCAUACGUAACUGUUAGGGAGAACUCGGUUCAAGCGCAGUCGUGUCGACGCUGGUAACCUUCCAAUUGAGGCGUUGGUUCAGGUGGCAAUAAGGAACGAUCAGUCGUCGUGUGGGUGGCAGCGAGGCGGCGUGGAAGUUGCCGCUACGAAGGAGACAGCCAGUCGGCCGGUAUAGGCGUCAACGGUGAGCUGAAACCGAUUUGUGCUUGAAUCGGACGGAAGAAGCUGGGAGAGAGGAUUCCGGCAUGAACAGGGUGCACCCUCCAGAAGAACCGUGAGUACGGCGAAGAAAAUUGCGCAAGAAUGCGAAAGAUCUAGAUAGCGAUAGGGCAGUAGCUAGUUAGAGUAGAAAUGGGCCUGUGGCCAAUGAUACGGUGAAUAAAGCUUGUACACAAUGAACAUCCUCUUUAGUGGCGUUUAGGUUGUUAGCCGGUCCGACCAAUG